UUUGAUGGCUGUUCCUCUCACUA
This 23-nucleotide microRNA is filed under the name Cervus elaphus (red deer). Its description in RNAcentral is "cel-miR-3955-5p". Lineage: Eukaryota; Metazoa; Chordata; Mammalia; Artiodactyla; Cervidae. The record is from RNAcentral.